Molecule: unclassified non-coding RNA, 342 nt
Filed under: soil metagenome
Description: partial contains 5.8S ribosomal RNA, internal transcribed spacer 2, and large subunit ribosomal RNA
Rfam family: 5.8S ribosomal RNA (bases 1-120)
Source: RNAcentral
GAUGAAGAACGUAGCGAAAUGCGAUAAGUAGUGUGAAUUGCAGAAUUCAGUGAAUCAUCGAAUCUUUGAACGCACAUUGCGGCCAUAGGUAUUCCUUUGGCCAUGCCUGUUCGAGCGUCAUUUACACCCUCAAGCCUAGCUUGGUGUUGGGCGCCUGUCCCGCCAUUUUCGCGCGCGGACUCGCCUCAAAGUCAUUGGCGGCGGUCGUGCCGGCCCCCUCGCGCAGCACAUUUGCGCUUCUCGGAGGCCCGGCGGAUCCGCGCUCCAGCAAGACCUUUCACGACUUGACCUCGGAUCAGGUAGGGAUACCCGCUGAACUUAAGCAUAUCAAUAAGCGGAGGA